ACUUUCCCAUUUUGUUAUGACUUUAGCUCAAUUUGAGUAAAAAACACCCAUUUGCUACUAACUUUAGCAUUAACAGUAGCAUAGACUCGAACUAUUAUUCUGGGUACAAACCGUGGUCGUGUGUUGUUUUGUUUUUCUUUCGUGGUUCACCGGUCGCGAUUUUGGUGCGAGGAAAAAGUUUGGUUUUUAAUUCCGAUUCCUUCAAAUCUGCGCAGUCGCUAUUAUUUUUCGGUUCUGGUGCGUUACGUUUACCACUGGUAAUUGAAACUGAUGGUAUAGCUGAUCCGGUCUGUUUGCAGGAGGACAACAAUUACUGUUCGAGUGGGGCGCCUUAUUACCCUUUUCUACCGGAACUUCAUUGAUUUCAAGUUGUCCGAUUCCCUGACAAGAACCGACAAAUUGGGAAGAUGGACGACGAGGAGGAGUUAUGUAUAUCAAGAGGCGGAUUGAUACAUAUUCUGGUUUUUUUUCCGGUAAGUGCAGUUAGAACAAAAGUGAGAUUUCGUCAUGUGAUAACAUAAAAUAUUAUUUUCUAGAUGUGAUAAACUACCGCUGGUUAUUAUCUAUCGAAAUCAUCACGGAACGGUAUACAGAGCAGCCUGGUAUUGGAGAAAAUGGUCCAUCUCCCGGCCCAUCACCAAGACGUUGAUGAAUGUGGGAAAGUAUUGUUCCGAUUCCCUUUUAAUCUUGGGUGAUGGUGAAGAUGUUCGGAUUUUUCCUGGGGAGAAAACUGUUUGUUUGGGGCAAAUGUUCGCUCUGAUUCCACAAGUACUGCAUCUUCAAGUUGUUAAACUCCCAGGCCAACCAGCAGUGCUGAGCCAACAUAAUGGAUAGCCAAACGACGCGGAGGAAUCAGACGGAGCGAAAAAUAUUCUAUUGAUUUUUCCUGAAAGCAGCAGCUCAUCAGAUUGCGAUGGGUAUACCAAUAAAAAAAUGAACGGUUUCCAAAGCAGUGUGGUGAUGGAAAUAAUACCGGGAAUCUGCACCUUUAUUCCAAUAUUAGAAUCAAACCUCCAACGUCGUAACGCGGAGCCACGGAUUGCUUCUAUGGGAAUGUUUACCAUAAUCUCUUCCUGGUGAUUAAAUGAGAUUUCAGUGUUGGAGAUAUUUCGAACAUCGUGCUAAUAAUAAAAGCCUCAUGGAAAAAACUUUUCAAAACCCGCAUGGAAAUUCGAAUAAAAAUAAAAAACAAGAUGAAAAAUCAAUCUCAUUUUUUAUAUCCGAAAAUGAAAAUCCUUCCAUUAAAAAUAAAUAUUUUUUUUGAUUUUACUCAUAUUUUAGCAAACAUUAGAAAAAAUAAAUUUUGCUAAAUUUUAGCAAACAAUGAUUUUUUUGCUAUGAAAUUAGUAAAAAAUUUA
Molecule: long non-coding RNA, 1358 nt
Organism: Uranotaenia lowii
Lineage: Eukaryota; Metazoa; Arthropoda; Insecta; Diptera; Culicidae
Exons: 3
Source: RefSeq, a predicted model, not a curated record